AAGCCUGAUGCAGCCAUGCCGCGUGUGUGAAGAAGGCCUUCGGGUGUAAAGCACUUUCAGUAGGGAGGAAGGUAGUGUAGUUAACACCUGCAUUAUUUGACGUUACCUACAGAAGAAGCACCGGCUAACUCCGUGCCAGCAGCCGCGGUAAUACGGAGGGUGCGAGCGUUUAAUCGGAAUUACUGGGCGUAAAGCGCAUGCAGGCGGCCUGUUAAGUCAGAUGUGAAAGCCCGGGGCUUAACCUCGGAAUUGCAUUUGAAACUGGCAGGCUAGAGUCUUGUAGAGGGGGUAGAAUUUCAGGUGUAGCGGUGAAAUGCGUAGAGAUCUGAAGGAAUACCAGUGGCGAAGGCGGCCCCCUGGACAAAGACUGACGCUCAGAUGCGAAAGCGUGGGGAGCAAACAGGAUUAGAUACCCUGGUAG
RNAcentral lists this ribosomal RNA (421 nucleotides) under uncultured bacterium. RNAcentral describes it as "bacterial SSU rRNA". It matches the Rfam family "Bacterial small subunit ribosomal RNA", at positions 379 to 793 of the family's 1533-position model. The record is from RNAcentral.